This 30-nucleotide non-coding RNA is filed under the name Rattus norvegicus (Norway rat). The record is from RNAcentral. Lineage: Eukaryota; Metazoa; Chordata; Mammalia; Rodentia; Muridae.
UACAACAUCUAGUGAGAAUUUCUGGUGAGA